RNAcentral lists this ribosomal RNA (92 nucleotides) under uncultured bacterium. RNAcentral's name for it is "partial 16S ribosomal RNA". It matches the Rfam family "Bacterial small subunit ribosomal RNA", at positions 1409 to 1500 of the family's 1533-position model. The record is from RNAcentral.
AGUCGGAAAUGCCCGAAGUCAGUGACCCAACCGUAAGGAGGGAGCUGCCGAAGGUGGAGCCGGUAACUGGGGUGAAGUCGUAACAAGGUAAC